UUCCUUGAGACAGGUUCUCUCUCCAUGACCCUGCAUGUUCAGGAACUAACUAUGUUGAUCAGGCUAGCCUUGAACUCACAAACUUCAGCCUGCCUCUACCUGAUACUAUCUCUGCCUCUGCCUAUGACUCUAUGACUGCCUCUGCAAUUGCCAUGGUAUGGAUCCUGACACAAAAGUGUUGAGACUAAAGGAAUGCUCCCACAAACUAAAUGGAAUCAAGUUUCUUUCUAUCUAUGUGGAUAUCCAGGUUUCCCAGCAUGUGAUCAAGAAGCCAUGUGUAAGCCAAGUGGUGCAAAGGGAGACUUCCCUGGGAAUUACACGUCAAAGCCAGAGAUUCCCUCAGCUGCAGAACAGAAAGAACUCUGCUACUCCUACUCCCUGGAUUACCAGAUGAGGACACCUCCUGUUGAUGGUGGCAAGUCAUUAACUGCCCCCAUCACAACCUUCAGAAUUCCGGGCAUUGCCACAUGAUCCCUGUCUGGAACAGAGAAUAAAAACCUGCAUGAGAUGGCAACAAAUCUGUCAAUGCCUCUGGAUGCCUAUGAGUGCAUGAAAGAGAAACAAGAUCCAUCUCUCUCCCUUUAGCACACACUGACAGGCAGCAUCCCUUGUACUUCACUGAUGCUGGGAGCCUAAGACAGCUGAGAGUCAAGGAUAGAAGCUUGCUUCUGACAUUGUGACAUUGGGAAGCAGCAGUCUUGGUCAGGAUGAGCCUGGGACAUGCACAGUGUGUUGGCCUCCAGAAUAGACUUGCAGACAUGACUACACUGGUGGUAGAAGUUCAUCUUCCAAACUGCUCAACUCCCUCUCUGAACUAAACCAAUUCCAGGUUCCCACAGCCACCCAAUGCAAAGACUCCAUAGUUUUCAGAAGCGAUCAGGCCCAGUAAAGAUCAGGUGUCAUCAGCACAUCCUUAAACCAGUUGAGAAAGAAGGAAGAGCAAAGCCCUAAUCUGCUUGAUCGAAAUUCUCUGGCCAGAAUCUAGUGUCAGGACCUGGUGGAGCGACAGAGCCUUAGAACAGUGCUAUGGCUAGAGAAGUUGAUAUUGACAACAUCAACCAGCAUAUAGAGGGCAAAGUUCAGAAAGCCACACUCUGCAGGCACAGCAGACCUGGGAAUCAUAAAAGACAAGACCAAGUGUAUUAGAGAUAAAACUCCAAGAAAGCUGAAAGAGUUGAUGCAAUUAAGUCACAGAGUAAAGACAGAAGACAAGCCCACUGUCCUCAACAACAAGAGGAUGUUCAAUUAACCUGAGCUCAGCCAUGAUGGCUUUAAAAAGCCUCAAAACCACCUCAGCGUGCACAUGCUGGAGUCUGUGAAGGUCUGUCACUCACUGUGGAAGGAAGGGUGAGAAGAAAACUGGCAUCUCCUGAACCUUCAACUCUUUGUGCUACUCUGUGCUCUAAUAGUAACAGAGUUUGUUACACUUUGGCCUCUGGGGAAUUCACUAUUAUCUUUUUCCAAGGCUACAUAUAGUGAGCAGAAUUCAUUUAUUUAUUAAGUCACUUUUAGUUUCUUAAACUGUGACCCACUCCAUAGCCCAGCAUCUCCUAGAACUGACAACAUCGAACAAGCAAUCAUUGAACUCACAAAGAUCUGCCUGCCUCUCCCUCUGCCUCAACCUCCAUCUCAGCCUCUGCCUCCCCUACUGCAUCCACAUCUGCACACUCCUCAGCGACUGCCUCAAGAGUGCUGGGAUGAAAGUAAUUCUCUAACAAGCAAGGUGGAAUCAAGGUUCUUUCAGUACAGGUUGAUAACCAUGUUUCAGUUCAUGUCUUGAUGAAGAGGCCAAGUGUACUCCAGGGUACAUUUUUGUACCUGAAAUUCAAAGAGAUGAAACCACAUGUUUUUACAAAUGCAACUUGACUCAGAUUCAUUUUUUUCUGACAGUCUUCCUUGUUUCAGUUGUAGGCUAUACUUGCUACAAUGCCUGUGAAGCACUCAUGAUAUCCAGGGUAUUUUCUAAUUUUGUAGUAAAGUUAUGAUUGCUUUUCUACUUCUAUGAAAUAGGGCAUCUGAGGAAUUGUAUUCACACUCUCCAUAGAGUUUCAUGGUGCUUCUUUCUUCACAAUAUCUAACCCCCAACUACUGUGUAUGCCCCAAAUUGUUCAUUCUAACAAGGGUAAGUACAGUCUAACUCACCUAGAAAAUGUUAACUAUCCCAGCAUGGAAAGAUCCUACUUCCUGAAUGCAAUGAUCCUCACAGGGACAAAUUUGAGUACAGCAGAAUGAUGGAAAGCAAUGGCUUAGGGAGUCCUCUGGUUUUAUCACUCCCUGUGUGUGGCUUAAUGACAGAUUUGCACACUGCCAUGAGACUACUGUCUUCAUCUCACAUCUUAGGAGCAGCAGAAACACAUUUGGAUGGAUAUCUUCUAAACUUGAUAUUAUUAUUUUAAUCUUUAUGUAUUCAAACUAAGGAUCUUGUAAAAUAAUCCUUAUUUAAGAAGUUCAGGAAGCAUUUUUCAUAUUAAAGCAAUUUACACAAUGCUA
Molecule: long non-coding RNA, 2490 nt
Organism: Peromyscus eremicus (cactus mouse)
Lineage: Eukaryota; Metazoa; Chordata; Mammalia; Rodentia; Cricetidae
Exons: 2
Source: RefSeq, a predicted model, not a curated record